GCAGAACGCGAAGAACCUUACCUACACUUGACAUACCUCUUGGGGCUUUCAGAGAUGAUUGCUUUCGGUUCGGCCGGGGAGAGUACAGGUGCUGCAUGGCUGUCGUCAGCUCGUGUCGUGAGAUGUUGGGUUAAGUCCCGCAACGAGCGCAACCCUUAUCGUAUGUUGCCAGCAUUUAGUUGGGCACUCAUGCGAGACUGCCGGUGACAAGCCGGAGGAAGGCGGGGACGACGUCAAGUCAUCAUGGCCCUUACGUGUAGGGCUACAAACGUGCUACAAUGGCGGUGACAAUGGGCAGCGAGGUCGUGAGGCCAAGCUAAUCCCAAAAAGCCGUCUCAGUUCAGAUUGUACUCUGCAACUCGAGUACAUGAAGUUGGAAUCGCUAGUAAUCGCAGAUCAGCAUUGCUGCGGUGAAUACGUUCCCGGGUCUUGUACACACCG
This 441-nucleotide ribosomal RNA is filed under the name uncultured bacterium. Its description in RNAcentral is "bacterial SSU rRNA". It matches the Rfam family "Bacterial small subunit ribosomal RNA", at positions 954 to 1392 of the family's 1533-position model. The record is from RNAcentral.